CUCUAAUAAUCACUAGUAGAAAAAAGUAAAAAAGCACCGCUCAAUGGCCACCGGUUUUCAAAAACCGGUGGGGAAAAAGGGCGGGAUUGGGGUGAUAUAAUAUUUCCACCGGUUCAAACCAAACCGGUGGGGAAAAUAUUAUUACAACCGGUUCAAAACCGGUGGUUUUGUUAUUAAAAAAAAAAUCCGCCCCCCCUUAUAAACUCCAAACCCUAUCUCUUCAUUCAUUCUCAGCCACUCCUCUUUCUUUCUCCUGCUCUCCCCUCUCCUCCCUCGAUAUGUUCGUCUUCUCUAGCAGUUUAGCUGAUUUCCUCUAUCUUUCUCUCUCAUCUCUCCCCUCUCCUCCUUCUCUUUCUCAUCUCUUUCUCAUCUCCUUCUCUCGAUCUGUUCAUCUUCUCUAUUUUCCUUAUCUUUGAUCUCAUUCUCGUCUCCUUCUCUUUCAUUUCCACCACCACCAAAACAAUAAACCACGAAGACAUGCACGAGGUAUAUUGAUUUAGAUGUAGAUGUUAAAUCGAAGAAUAAAGAUGCAUGAUUAUUGAUUUAGGUGUUAUAUGGGUUGUUUUUUAAUUUUAAUGUUGUAAUUUUUUUGGGUUUUUUAUUGUAAUUUUUUUUUAUUUUAAUGUUGGAAUUUUAGUUUUGUGUAAUUUGAUUAAUUUAGAUCUUUUAAAUUGGAAUUGUUGUAUGAGUAAUUUAGUUGUAGUUAUUAAUUUAGUUUUUUUCACUCUUAAAAAGUGUACAAUUACUAGAUACUGAUGAAUAUAUAUGUGUUUUUAUGUA
Molecule: long non-coding RNA, 780 nt
Organism: Chenopodium quinoa (quinoa)
Lineage: Eukaryota; Viridiplantae; Streptophyta; Magnoliopsida; Caryophyllales; Amaranthaceae
Exons: 2
Source: RefSeq, a predicted model, not a curated record